CGGGCGACCGGCGCACGGGUGAGUAACACGUAUGCGACCUGCCCGUAGCAGGGGGAUAAGCGGAAGAAAUUCCGUCUAAUACCGCGUAAUAUCUUUCGGGGGCAUCCCUGAGGGAUUAAAGGAAGCGAUUCCGGCUACGGAUGGGCAUGCGGCGCAUUAGCUAGUCGGCGGGGUAACGGCCCACCGAGGCGACGAUGCGUAGGGGUUCUGAGAGGAAGGUCCCCCACACUGGUACUGAGACACGGACCAGACUCCUACGGGAGGCAGCAG
This 270-nucleotide ribosomal RNA is filed under the name uncultured bacterium. RNAcentral describes it as "partial 16S ribosomal RNA". It matches the Rfam family "Bacterial small subunit ribosomal RNA", at positions 88 to 354 of the family's 1533-position model. The record is from RNAcentral.